Non-coding RNA from Cladophialophora chaetospira, 72 nucleotides. Lineage: Eukaryota; Fungi; Ascomycota; Eurotiomycetes; Chaetothyriales; Herpotrichiellaceae. The record is from the annotation of a GenBank genome assembly.
UCCGUAGUGGUGUAACGGUUAGCAUACCUGUCUUUCGCACAGUUGAUCGGAGUUCGACUCUUCGUUACGGAA